Quercus lobata is the source of this 1274-nucleotide long non-coding RNA. RefSeq lists it as uncharacterized. The transcript is spliced from 2 exons. NCBI's taxonomy places the organism in Eukaryota, Viridiplantae, Streptophyta, Magnoliopsida, Fagales, Fagaceae. The record is from RefSeq and is a predicted model, not a curated record.
UAUAAUUAUUCAGUAUUUCUAACAUGGUGAUUUGACCAUUACAAGCCAACCUACUAUUGAGCAGUAAGCAGACAGUUGGAACCUAGUCCAAAAAGGUUGAGAAAAGAUGUGUUGGCCAAGGAUAAAGUAGAAAAUUAGAAACCUUAUUGGCUAUUAAUGGUACCAUAAAGUUUGUUCUUUAAUAUCUUUAACUUCUUCCACUGUUCUCUAUGGUUUGUAUACUUAUAAGUUAUAUUUGAAAAAAAUGUUGGAAAACCUUAAAUGACCAUCAUCGGUCAAUCCAAGGUGCUACGUGGGGCACAACCUUCUGGCAGCUAAGAACCUAGUCAAUUAGUAUUCUCAUUAGUGAUCUUAUAUCUUUCCGACACAUUUCUCUUCCAUUAAUGUUUCUUAAUCAAAUCAACCAAUUUAUAAAGAGAAGUUAAAUUAGCUUGACCUAAAUUUUGUGACUGAAUUAAAUUCAUGCAGGAUUUAUAGCAUGGUAUGCUAAUUUUGAUGAGGAGUACUUGUGCUUGAUUCCCAAGUCACCCUUUUACCUUGAAGGAGCUAGUGGAGAACUUGGAAAUAAGCUAGGCCAGGAUGUGAGUCUGUAUAUCUAAAAAAUCAAGGUAUGGAUGCUACGGUGUUUUCUCUUGCUUUGGUGUUAAAUGUGUUGUUUGUCAUGCCUGGCAAUUGGGAGCAAGUCACCUCUGAAAGUUAGUAGAGGAAGAACUUGAAGAGAAGAAUUUAUGUAGUAGCUAAUUCUAACUUUAAGGCUUGGCUUUGCAGUUGCCAUUAUGCAUACCUAUGAAAGAAGUGCUAGAGUGUUAAUGAUGUUCAAUCAGCCAUGGUAUAUGAAUGCUUUUGUUCAUCAUCCCUUGGUGAUUCUCUUAACAGCUCUGGAGGCUUUUAGCUAUAUGAUGACAUGUGAAAUUAACAAUAUCAAUUGGCAUAUCUGGUGCACUUUUUGACCUAUUGGAAGCCAUGGUUUCUGAGCUUCUUGCUAAUUGGAUAAUCUUUGCAAAGAAGGUAACAUUUUCUUUUUACUCAUUAUAUCUUUGGAUAGUAAAAGUGACAGUUUGAGACUCAAAGCUAAGUAUUUAUCAAAUUAACCUAAACUUGCUUACUCUUAAUUUGUGAGAAUAGGUCUUGACUCCUAAAUAUUCAGUGUGCAGAACUUGUAACUCUCGUGCUCAUUAUAGCUGUAAAUUGUCCCCUCAGAUUUCUACCUCAUGUGAACAAUUCAGCUCAAUUUGAAGGAUUCCUGUCAGGAUUUCCCCUUGGCUUCAUUCUUU